CAGCUCUCCCUUCUUCCUCUCUUUUCUCUCUUGCCCUUCUUCUCUUAAUCCUUGUUCAAACUAAUCCAAUCAUCCAAGGUGGGGGAAUACCUCUGUUUCAUCUCUCCCAAACUAAAUUGGGGUUUCUUUCAGACCUAAGGAUGAACAUGCAUGAGGUGAAUCAAUAAAAUCUGAUUUUGCUUUUGGCUGUAAAGUAAGGUAGCACAGGAAGGGCGAGUCCAUCACCACGGUCGCCUACUUGGAUUCGGCCGGAAUGGAAUCAUACCCUUGCCACGACAUUCAGUUCCUCGAUUUCGAGGGUUUCUCUAGUUUCCAGUAUUGCCCUCUUCAGAUUAUCAGUAGAAGAGAUUGUUUUUUAUAGCAAUCAUGAGUUCGAGCAGUGGAAUGAGAACCGACCUGUGCCAAGGUCUUGAUGUGUUCAGAAGCACCACUAUCAACAGGCGACGCAGGGCAUUGCAUAUAUAUAGGAGUGGUCUACUUGGUGAUGAUCACAGCUUCGCCC
Rosa rugosa (rugosa rose) is the source of this 502-nucleotide long non-coding RNA. RefSeq lists it as uncharacterized. The transcript is spliced from 3 exons. Lineage: Eukaryota; Viridiplantae; Streptophyta; Magnoliopsida; Rosales; Rosaceae. The record is from RefSeq and is a predicted model, not a curated record.